AAAUAAGCAAUACCCAGAUACCAAAUCCUCCAAAUUUGAGGAAACCCACCAAAACCAGACAAAGCUAUGACAACUAAAAGCCACAGUUAACUUCUUUAUACACCAUGAUAAGAAGCUUAAAUUCAGCAUUGAUGUUCAAACAUGCAAAUACCAAUGUAUCUACUCAAUCAAAUUUCUAUACCCAAGUACAUCCAAACAAAAUAAUCCAAGUUCUACCUUGAUAUGAAGUGUUCCA
This 235-nucleotide unclassified non-coding RNA is filed under the name Hevea brasiliensis (rubber tree). Lineage: Eukaryota; Viridiplantae; Streptophyta; Magnoliopsida; Malpighiales; Euphorbiaceae. The record is from RNAcentral.